ACGCGCUGGCGGGACUCGGUGUAAUUCCGAACCGGCGGUGAUCCGACGCGUAAGCGACGGUAAGCCCGCGACCCGAUCGCCUUCACCGAGGCGAGCGGUGGACCUGGUGAGACUCCAGGGCCGACGGUUGAUCAGCCUCUGCUGGUCAGACAGUCCGGAUGGGAGACAGCGCGC
This is a regulatory RNA element of Actinoplanes utahensis, 174 nucleotides long. It matches the Rfam family "FMN riboswitch aptamer (RFN element)". From Rfam's summary of the family: The RFN element is a highly conserved domain that is found frequently in the 5'-untranslated regions of prokaryotic mRNAs that encode for flavin mononucleotide (FMN) biosynthesis and transport proteins. This element is a metabolite-dependent riboswitch that directly binds FMN in the absence of proteins. The record is from Rfam. NCBI's taxonomy places the organism in Bacteria, Bacillati, Actinomycetota, Actinomycetes, Micromonosporales, Micromonosporaceae.